ACACUCCUACGGGAGGCAGCAGUGGGAAAUAUUGGACAAUGGGCGCAAGCCUGAUCCAGCCAUGCCGCGUGAGUGAUGAAGGCCCUAGGGUUGUAAAGCUCUUUCACCGGUGAAGAUAAUGACGGUAACCGGAGAAGAAGCCCCGGCUAACUUCGUGCCAGCAGCCGCGGUAAUACGAAGGGGGCUAGCGUUGUUCGGAUUUACUGGGCGUAAAGCGCACGUAGGCGGACUAUUAAGUCAGGGGUGAAAUCCCGGGGCUCAACCCCGGAACUGCCUUUGAUACUGGUAGUCUUGAGUUCGAGAGAGGUGAGUGGAAUUCCGAGUGUAGAGGUGAAAUUCGUAGAUAUUCGGAGGAACACCAGUGGCGAAGGCGGCUCACUGGCUCGAUACUGACGCUGAGGUGCGAAAGCGUGGGGAGCAAACAGGAUUAGAAACCCGGGUAGUCCCAUGAU
Molecule: ribosomal RNA, 452 nt
Filed under: uncultured organism
Description: partial 16S ribosomal RNA
Rfam family: Bacterial small subunit ribosomal RNA
Source: RNAcentral